RNAcentral lists this ribosomal RNA (273 nucleotides) under uncultured bacterium. RNAcentral's name for it is "partial 16S ribosomal RNA". It matches the Rfam family "Bacterial small subunit ribosomal RNA", at positions 523 to 796 of the family's 1533-position model. The record is from RNAcentral.
CUACGGAGGGUGCAAGCGUUGUUCGGAUUUAUUGGGUGUAAAGCGAGUGUAGGCGGUUUGACAAGUCGAAUGUGAAAUCCCGAGGCCCAACCUCGGAACUGCAUCCGAAACUGUCAGGCUAGAGUCCCGGAGAGGGUGGCGGAAUUCCCGGUGUAGGGGUGAAAUCCGUAGAUAUCGGGAGGAACACCAGUGGCGAAGGCGGCCACCUGGACGGUGACUGACGCUGAGACUCGAAAGUGUGGGUAGCAACAGGAUUAGAAACCCUAGUAGUCC